UACGUAGGGUGCGAGCGUUAAUCGGAAUUACUGGGCGUAAAGUGUGCGCAGGCGGCCAUGCAAGUCGAGUGUGAAAGCCCCGGGCUUAACUUGGGAAUUGCGCUCGAAACUACGUGGCUGGAGUGUGGCAGAGGAAGGUGGAAUUCCACGUGUAGCGGUGAAAUGCGUAGAGAUGUGGAGGAACACCGAUGGCGAAGGCAGCCUUCUGGGCCAACACUGACGCUCAUGCACGAAAGCGUGGGGAGCAAACAGG
RNAcentral lists this ribosomal RNA (253 nucleotides) under uncultured bacterium. RNAcentral's name for it is "partial 16S ribosomal RNA". It matches the Rfam family "Bacterial small subunit ribosomal RNA", at positions 524 to 776 of the family's 1533-position model. The record is from RNAcentral.